UAGGGAAUCUUCGGCAAUGGGGGCAACCCUGAUCGAGCAACGCCGCGUGAGUGAAGAAGGUUUUCGGAUCGUAAAGCUCUGUUGUAAGAGAAGAACGUGUGUGAGAGUGGAAAGUUCACACAGUGACGGUAACUUACCAGAAAGGGACGGCUAACUACGUGCCAGCAGCCGCGGUAAUACGUAGGUCCCGAGCGUUGUCCGGAUUUAUUGGGCGUAAAGCGAGCGCAGGCGGUUUAAUAAGUCUGAAGUUAAAGGCAGUGGCUUAACCAUUGUUCGCUUUGGAAACUGUUGAACUUGAGUGAAGAAGGGGAGAGUGGAAUUCCAUGUGUAGCGGUGAAAUGCGUAGAUAUAUGGAGGAACACCGGUGGCGAGAGCGGCUCUCUGGUCUGUAACUGACGCUGAGGCUCGAAAGCGUGGGGAGCAAACAGG
RNAcentral lists this ribosomal RNA (429 nucleotides) under bacterium. Its description in RNAcentral is "partial 16S ribosomal RNA". It matches the Rfam family "Bacterial small subunit ribosomal RNA", at positions 355 to 776 of the family's 1533-position model. The record is from RNAcentral.